CCUACGGGAGGCAGCAGUGAGGAAUAUUGGUCAAUGGGCGCAAGCCUGAACCAGCCAAGUAGCGUGAAGGAAGACGGCCCUACGGGUUGUAAACUUCUUUUAUAAGGGAAUAAAGUGAGGCACGUGUGCCUUUUUGUAUGUACUUUAUGAAUAAGCAUCGGCUAACUCCGUGCCAGCAGCCGCGGUAAUACGGAGGAUCCGAGCGUUAUCCGGAUUUAUUGGGUUUAAAGGGAGCGUAGAUGGGUUGUUAAGUCAGUUGUGAAAGUUUGCGGCUCAACCGUAAAAUUGCAAUUGAUACUGGCAGCCUUGAGUACAGUUGAGGUAGGCGGAAUGCGUGGUGUAGCGGUGAAAUGCUUAGAUAUCACGAAGAACUCCGAUUGCGAAGGCAGCCUACUAAACUGCCACUGACAUUGAUGCACGAAAGUGUGGGUAUCAAACAGGAUUAGAUACCCGAGUAGUC
RNAcentral lists this ribosomal RNA (460 nucleotides) under uncultured bacterium. RNAcentral's name for it is "partial 16S ribosomal RNA". It matches the Rfam family "Bacterial small subunit ribosomal RNA", at positions 338 to 795 of the family's 1533-position model. The record is from RNAcentral.